GUGGGGAAUAUUGGUCAAUGGACGGAAGUCUGAACCAGCCAUGCCGCGUGCAGGAAUAAGGUCCUAUGGAUUGUAAACUGCUUUUAUUCGGGAAUAAACCUCUUUACGUGUAGGGAGCUGAAGGUACCGAAGGAAUAAGCACCGGCUAACUCCGUGCCAGCAGCCGCGGUAAUACGGAAGGUGCAAGCGUUAUCCGGAAUCAUUGGGUUUAAAGGGUCCGCAGGCGGGCUAUCAAGUCAGAGGUGAAAUCCCACAGCUUAACUGUGGAACUGCCUUUGAAACUGAUGGUCUUGAAUUAAGUGGGCGUUGGCGGAAUAUGACAUGUAGCGGUGAAAUGCAUAGAUAUGUCAUGGAACACCGAAAGCGAAGGCAGCUAACGAUACUUAUAUUGACGCUCAUGGACGAAAGCGUGGGUAGCGAACAGGAUUAGAUACCCGAGUAGUCC
Molecule: ribosomal RNA, 445 nt
Filed under: uncultured bacterium
Lineage: Bacteria
Description: partial 16S ribosomal RNA
Rfam family: Bacterial small subunit ribosomal RNA
Source: RNAcentral